This 640-nucleotide ribosomal RNA is filed under the name uncultured archaeon. RNAcentral's name for it is "bacterial SSU rRNA". It matches the Rfam family "Archaeal small subunit ribosomal RNA", at positions 1 to 654 of the family's 1478-position model. The record is from RNAcentral.
UUCCGGUUGAUCCUGCCAGAGGUCACUGCUAUCGGGGUUCGAUUAAGCCAUGCGAGUCGAGAGGGUUCGGCCCUCGGCGUACUGCUCAGUAACACGUGGAUAACCUGCCCUAGGGGAGGGGAUAACCCCGGGAAACUGGGGAUAAUACCCUAUAGGUUACAGAUGCUGGAAUGCCCUGUAACCAAAAGCUCCGGCGCCCUAGGAUGGAUCUGCGGCCGAUUAGGUUGUUGUUGGGGUAACGGCCCAACAAGCCCGUAAUCGGUACGGGUUGUGGGAGCAAGAGCCCGGAGUUGGAUUCUGAGACACGAAUCCAGGCCCUACGGGGCGCAGCAGGCGCGAAACCUUUACAAUGCGGGCAACCGUGAUAAGGGAACCUCGAGUGCCUGUAAACGCAGGCUGUUCAGGUGUUUAAAACGCACCUGGAGAAAGGGCCGGGCAAGACCGGUGCCAGCCGCCGCGGUAAUACCGGCGGCUCGAGUGGUGGCCGCUUUUAUUGGGCUUAAAGCGUUCGUAGCUGGGUUGUUAAGUCUCUUGGGAAAUCUGGCGGCUUAACCGUCAGGCGUCUAAGGAUACUGGCAAUCUUGGAACCGGGAGAGGUGAGGGUACUUCGGGGGUAGGGUGAAUCCUGUAAUCCUCGAGG